Molecule: ribosomal RNA, 301 nt
Filed under: uncultured bacterium
Lineage: Bacteria
Description: partial 16S ribosomal RNA
Rfam family: Bacterial small subunit ribosomal RNA
Source: RNAcentral
CAGCCGCCACGGUAAUACAGAGGGUGCGAGCGUUAAUCGGAAUUAUUGGGCGUAAAGAGCUCGUAGGCGGCUAGUCGCGUCAGCUGUGAAAACCUGGGGCUCAACCCCGGGCCUGCAGCCGAUACGGGCUAGCUAGAAUUCGGUAGGGGAGACUGGAAUUCCUGGUGUAGCGGUGAAAUGCGCAGAUAUCAGGAGGAACACCGGUGGCGAAGGCGGGUCUCUGGGCCGAUAUUGACGCUGAGGAGCGAAAGCGCGGGGAGCGAACAGGAUUAGAUACCCCUGUAGUCCAUGUCUCUUAUAA